CAAAAUGUAGCUUAACCAAAGCCCCUCGCUUACACCGAAGAGAUGUUUGUCUUACCCAAACCACUUUGAGCCUAAAAUCUA
RNAcentral lists this transfer RNA (81 nucleotides) under Feihyla kajau (white-eared tree frog). RNAcentral's name for it is "tRNA-Val". Lineage: Eukaryota; Metazoa; Chordata; Amphibia; Anura; Rhacophoridae. The record is from RNAcentral.